CCUACGGGAGGCAGCAGUGAGGAAUAUUGGUCAAUGGGCUUACGUCUGAACCAGCCAAGUCGCGUGAAGGAAGACUGCCCUAUGGGUUGUACACCUCUUUUGUCAGGGAGCAACGCCGGCUACGUGUAGCCGGACUGAGAGUACCUGAAGAAAAAGCAUCGGCUAACUCCGUGCCAGCUGCCGCGGUAAUACGGAGGAUGCGAGCGUUAUCCGGAUUUAUUGGGUUUAAAGGGUGCGUAGGCGGAUUGAUAAGUUAGAGGUGAAAUGUCCGAGCUUAACUCGGGAAUUGCCUCUAAUACUGUUGAUCUAGAGAGUAGAUGCGGUAGGCGGAAUGUAUGGUGUAGCGGUGAAAUGCUUAGAGAUCAUACAGAACACCGAUUGCGAAGGCAGCUUACCAAGCUAUAUCUGACGUUGAGGCACGAAAGCGUGGGGAGCAAACAGGAUUAGAUACCCUGGUAGUC
This 461-nucleotide ribosomal RNA is filed under the name uncultured bacterium. Its description in RNAcentral is "partial 16S ribosomal RNA". It matches the Rfam family "Bacterial small subunit ribosomal RNA", at positions 338 to 795 of the family's 1533-position model. The record is from RNAcentral.